UCCGCGAUCGUCUAAUGGCUAUGAUGCAGCUCUCUCACUAAUGGACAGCUGAGGUCAGGGUUCGAUUCCCUGUCGCGGAA
RNAcentral lists this transfer RNA (80 nucleotides) under Clavulina sp. PMI_390. RNAcentral's name for it is "tRNA-Glu". It matches the Rfam family "tRNA". From Rfam's summary of the family: Transfer RNA (tRNA) molecules are approximately 80 nucleotides in length. Their secondary structure includes four short double-helical elements and three loops (D, anti-codon, and T loops). The record is from RNAcentral. Lineage: Eukaryota; Fungi; Basidiomycota; Agaricomycetes; Cantharellales; Hydnaceae.